CAGUACCCUGAAUUUAGCUGUCAUAUCAGUACCCUGAAUUUAGUUGUCAUAUCAGUACCCUGAAUUUAGCUGUCAUAUCAGUACCCUGAAUUUAGUUGUCAUAUCAGUACCCUGAAUUUAGUUGUCAUAUCAGAUGAAUCUCCUACUGCGCAGUCUGAUGCUGCCUCACAGAUAUAGCUGUACACUCACUAAGGGCCAUACUGUUAUACUUCUAGUCUGUCAUACAGACCCUGAAACAAAUAUAUCCAA
This is a long non-coding RNA of Haliotis rubra (blacklip abalone), 249 nucleotides long. RefSeq lists it as uncharacterized. The record is from RefSeq and is a predicted model, not a curated record. The transcript has 2 exons. NCBI's taxonomy places the organism in Eukaryota, Metazoa, Mollusca, Gastropoda, Lepetellida, Haliotidae.